Molecule: ribosomal RNA, 777 nt
Filed under: uncultured Neocallimastigales
Lineage: Eukaryota; Fungi; Neocallimastigomycota; Neocallimastigomycetes; Neocallimastigales
Description: partial large subunit ribosomal RNA
Rfam family: Eukaryotic large subunit ribosomal RNA
Source: RNAcentral
UAUCUCUGUAGAGUCUGCAUAUCAAUAAGCGGAGGAAAAGAAACUAACAAGGAUUCCCCUUAGUAACGGCGAGUGAAGCGGGAAGAGCUCAAAUUUGAAAUCUUCAAGGGUUUACCUUUACGAAUUGUAGUUUAAAGAAGUGUUUUCUGUUGGAAGUUUCGGUAAAAGUUCUUUGGAAUAGGACAUCAUAGAGGGUGAGAAUCCCGUAUUUGACCGUUACUUUCCAGCUGUGUGAUACACUUUCAAAGAGUCGGAUUGUUUGGGAAUGCAGUCCAAAAUGGGUGGUAAAUUUCAUCUAAAGCUAAAUAUUGGCGAGAGACCGAUAGCGAACAAGUACCGUGAGGGAAAGAUGAAAAGAACUUUGAAAAGAGAGUUAAACAGUACGUGAAAUUGUCAAAAGGGAAGCGUUUGACACCAGUGUUGUUUAGUUGAAAAUCAAUUAAAUAGUUUUCGAUUUUAAGUAGUAUUGACCUUAUCAGCUUGCUGCUUUCUUCUCGGAAAUUAUUUAAUGCACUUUUCAGUUAACAAGUCAACAUCAAUUUCUUUUGUUGUAAAAAGGUAAGAGGAAGGUGGCUUGCGCUUCGGCUCAAGUGUUUAUAGCCUUUUACUUCUGCAAUCGGAGAGAUUGAGGUCUGCAGCGUAGAUCCUUCGGGGUUAGAUACAUUUGUGCUAAGCUAUAGCCUUGUAUAGACAACUUGUUGACUAUGCUCAGUCAUGUAGCUUACUCGCUUAUGCUAUUUUACCUACGCUUAGGAUGUUGAACGCGCACAGAGUCUC